UACAGAGGUCCCAAGCGUUGUUCGGAUUCACUGGGCGUAAAGGGUGCGUAGGUGGUCGGGUAAGUCUGAUGUGAAAUCUCCGAGCUUAACUCGGAAAUGGCAUUGGAUACUAUUCGGCUGGAGGGUUGGAGGGGGGACUGGAAUUCUCGGUGUAGCAGUGAAAUGCGUAGAUAUCGAGAGGAACACCAGUGGCGAAGGCGAGUCCCUGGACAACUCCUGACACUGAGGCACGAAAGCUAGGGGAGCAAACAGG
Molecule: ribosomal RNA, 253 nt
Filed under: uncultured bacterium
Lineage: Bacteria
Description: partial 16S ribosomal RNA
Rfam family: Bacterial small subunit ribosomal RNA
Source: RNAcentral